RNAcentral lists this ribosomal RNA (742 nucleotides) under uncultured bacterium. RNAcentral describes it as "bacterial SSU rRNA". It matches the Rfam family "Bacterial small subunit ribosomal RNA", at positions 28 to 771 of the family's 1533-position model. The record is from RNAcentral.
GAUGACCGCUGGCGGCGUGCUUAACACAUGCAAGUCGAACGGGAAAUAUUUCAUUGAGACUUCGGUGGAUUUGAUCUAUUUCUAGUGGCGGACGGGUGAGUAACGCGUGGGUAACCUGCCUUAUACAGGGGGAUAACAGUCAGAAAUGGCUGCUAAUACCGCAUAAGCGCACAGAGCUGCAUGGCUCAGUGUGAAAAACUCCGGUGGUAUAAGAUGGACCCGCGUUGGAUUAGCUAGUUGGUGGGGUAACGGCCCACCAAGGCGACGAUCCAUAGCCGGCCUGAGAGGGUGAACGGCCACAUUGGGACUGAGACACGGCCCACACUCCUACGGGAGGCAGCAGUGGGGAAUAUUGCACAAUGGGGGAAACCCUGAUGCAGCGACGCCGCGUGAAGGAAGAAGUAUCUCGGUAUGUAAACUUCUAUCAGCAGGGAAGAUAGUGACGGUACCUGACUAAGAAGCCCCGGCUAACUACGUGCCAGCAGCCGCGGUAAUACGUAGGGGGCAAGCGUUAUCCGGAUUUACUGGGUGUAAAGGGAGCGUAGACGGUGUGGCAAGUCUGAUGUGAAAGGCAUGGGCUCAACCUGUGGACUGCAUUGGAAACUGUCAUACUUGAGUGCCGGAGGGGUAAGCGGAAUUCCUAGUGUAGCGGUGAAAUGCGUAGAUAUUAGGAGGAACACCAGUGGCGAAGGCGGCUUACUGGACGGUAACUGACGUUGAGGCUCGAAAGCGUGGGGAGCCC